GGGGGGCUUAGGGAUCGGGAUGGGAGAGAAGGGACUAGGGAUCUUCUGGCCGAGAAGAGAAGGGGGGCUGAAGUGCAUAAACCGGGUUCGUUUUUAGUGAACCCGGUCUACACGUCAUGGCUGCAGUGGAUGCAGCCAAACAGUGGCUGCUCCGUAGACAUAUUCUUUUAAAAAAAGGAUGGUUUUAUUAGUGCCCUUGUGAUAGAUAAGGAAAAGUCUUUCCAGCCUCCGGUCCACAGUUCGCACACCACACUCCUGAUGCGGCGAACCCGGUUCGUCGCCCACUUCUCCCAAACCACUAUUUCUCUCAUUCGGCUCCCCCUUCUCAUGACCAAGACAACGAGCAGACGCCCUCUACUCCCAGAUCUCCCGCACACCGACGCCCCUCACCCCAACCAACACCCCAUCAGCAGAUCACUCCCCCUCACCCAUGAAACCCUAGAAGAUUUCGUCCUCACCUCUCACCCUAGCCCCUUCUUCACGUCUCUCACCUCUGAAACCCUCGAUAAACUCCAUACGGUGUGUUGAGCUUCUGUUGCAAACUCCAGACGUCGCACACCAACCAGAUUGCGUCCAGAUCUGCCUCCUUGCCAACCUGAGCUGAUUUCACUUCCAUCACAUUACCAUGACCAUGGGAAAAGCAAUAUGUCAAUUUUUCAUUUGAGCCGAUAUAUACUUCAAUUGGUAGAGAAAAAGAUUCUGACAACGGAGAAUGCAAUUCGGAAGAGAGAUGAUGAUUUAUUGUUACGUGAAUAUGAAAAUCAAAAAAAGAUAAACUAAUCAAGAGAGAAAAUGAGCUUCAGAAGCAAGAUGACAAACUUCGAAAGUGGAUUAUAGAGAAUAAGGGUGCACAUAUAUUGUUGUGUCUGUACUGAAUCAUAUCUAUUGUAAUAGUUUUUUUUAUUGGUUCGGACUAUAGUUGUAAUGUGUUAGUUUUAAAUCGGUUGUAGAUUGUUCGGACCAUAAUUGUAUGCUAUAUUGUCUAUAAAUAUAAUCAUAAUAGCUUACUAUGAUAAAA
Molecule: long non-coding RNA, 1018 nt
Organism: Carya illinoinensis
Lineage: Eukaryota; Viridiplantae; Streptophyta; Magnoliopsida; Fagales; Juglandaceae
Exons: 2
Source: RefSeq, a predicted model, not a curated record